AUCAAGUUAGCUUAAUUGGUAAAGCCAAAGUUUUGUAAACUUUAAGAUGAAUGUUCAAAUCAUUUACUUGGUA
Molecule: non-coding RNA, 73 nt
Organism: Tieghemiomyces parasiticus
Lineage: Eukaryota; Fungi; Kickxellomycota; Dimargaritomycetes; Dimargaritales; Dimargaritaceae
Source: the annotation of a GenBank genome assembly